Molecule: ribosomal RNA, 301 nt
Filed under: uncultured bacterium
Lineage: Bacteria
Description: partial 16S ribosomal RNA
Rfam family: Bacterial small subunit ribosomal RNA
Source: RNAcentral
CAGUAGCCGCGGUAAUACGGAGGGUGCAAGCGUUAAUCGGAAUUACUGGGCGUAAAGCGCACGCAGGCGGUCUGACAAGUCAGAUGUGAAAUCCCCGGGCUUAACCUGGGAACUGCAUUUGAAACUGUCAGGCUGGAGUCUUGUAGAGGGGGGUGGAAUUCCAGGUGUAGCGGUGAAAUGCGUAGAGAUCUGGAGGAAUACCGGUGGCGAAGGCGGCCCCCUGGACAAAGACUGACGCUCAAGUGCGAAAGCGUGGGGAGCAAACAGGAUUAGAUACCCGAGUAGUCCCUGUCUCUUAUAA